UACGAAGGGGGCUAGCGUUGCUCGGCAUUACUGGGCGUACAGGGCGCGUAGGCGGCCAGUUUAGUCAGAGGUGAAAGCCCAGGGCUCAACCUUGGAAUUGCCUUUGAUACUGGCUGUCUUGAGUUCGGGAGAGGUGAGUGGAAUGCCGAGUGUAGAGGUGAAAUUCGUAGAUAUUCGGCGGAACACCAGUGGCGAAGGCGACUCACUGGCCCGAUACUGACGCUGACAGCGCGAAAGCUAGGGGAGCGAACGGG
This 254-nucleotide ribosomal RNA is filed under the name uncultured bacterium. RNAcentral describes it as "partial 16S ribosomal RNA". It matches the Rfam family "Bacterial small subunit ribosomal RNA", at positions 524 to 776 of the family's 1533-position model. The record is from RNAcentral.